AGCGAGAUGGCGCAGCUGGUAGCGCGCUGGGCUCAUAUUCAGUCAUCUGAAGUCACCCAGAGGUCGUCGGAUCGAAACUGACUCUCGCUA
This 90-nucleotide transfer RNA is filed under the name Puccinia triticina 1-1 BBBD Race 1. RNAcentral describes it as "Puccinia triticina tRNA PTTG_20468". It matches the Rfam family "tRNA". Rfam says of the family: Transfer RNA (tRNA) molecules are approximately 80 nucleotides in length. Their secondary structure includes four short double-helical elements and three loops (D, anti-codon, and T loops). Lineage: Eukaryota; Fungi; Basidiomycota; Pucciniomycetes; Pucciniales; Pucciniaceae. The record is from Rfam by way of RNAcentral.